UUGCUCUGUUAGCUGAAAAAUGUCAACAAAGUGCCAUCUAGUCACUCGGUUAGCUUUUAAACACAUCAACAAAAUGCCCUUUAGUCACUCUGGUAGCUUUAAAGUGUCAACAAAGCGCCUUUUAGUUGCUUUGUUAGCUAAAAAAUGUCAACAAAGUGCCUCUAGUUGCUCUGUCACCUUUAAACACAACAACAAAAUGCCCCUCGGUCACUUCGUUUGGCCUAAAAAUGUCAACAAAGUACCCUGUAGUCACUCUGUUAGCUUGAAAUUUGUAAACAAAGUGCCCUCUGGUCACACUGUUUGCCUAAAAAUAUCAACAAAGUGCACUUGAGUUGCUCUGUUAGCUAAAAAACAUCAACAAAGCGCCCUCUAGUUGGUUUGUUUGUGAACAAAUUGUAAACAAAGGGCCCUCUGGCUGCUUUCUUUGCACCAACUUCAGCUGAUUUGAAGCCAAAUUCACUGGAUUAAACACAUUUGCAGGAUUACAGACUAAACUAAGAGCUUCACUUUAUUUUCUCUAUUUAUUCAAAUUGUCGUCACUAAACUCUUUAACAAUGUUAACUUUCAUUUUCAUGUGUUUACUGCAGUGAAUUGUGUUACAGCCUCUAAACACUGACUUCAUCCGUUACCCCCGACAUCAGCCGAUAAUUAAAUGUGUGUAUAUUUGUCCUGUGCAGCAUCUCCGGUCUAUUAAUUAACCUCCACACUAGUCUACAGCUCUGAAACAAUGAGAUUCAUGCAGUCUGAAAAGUUUGUUGCCUGUGAUUCACUUUGCGCAGCCACGACUGCUGCCAGCGGAUUUAAUGGCGCAGCUUCAUCACAAUGCUGCUUCAGAUGACACGUUUUACAGCGUGGUAUUAGUCCUGCAUGUGGGGGAUAAUUACUGCUCAAACACAGAGGGAGAGGAAGUCUAAAGACAAAUUCCUCCAAAUGGGAAACAGAGAAAGGAUUUGAUUCCUUCCUGGAUGCUGAUAAAUGCUUUACAGUCUCAAGGCAUGUCUAACAAGUGGUUUAAUUCUAUUUCUUAUCAACAGAGUGAAAAUUAGCCCAAAAUUAAUGCAGUGUUCAACAGAAAUAACUCCAAGAUAAAAAUCAGAUAAAUUUCUGGGUUUCAAAAUGAAAUCUCAGCCUCAGCCUUCAUCAGAUAUCACAUUACAGUCUGUGCCACAGGUGAUCUCCAUCCUGCUGAGUCUGACAUCAUACCGAGCUACAGGGGGGUUUCCCAGGAGGUCAAUGAGAUAUGGAGUUAAUGAAAACCAACAGGAUGGGGCUGUCUGCGCUUACCGUGGGUGAUAAAGCUCGCAGACAGUUGGGAAAUUUGUGGUUUGGGUUUAUGAGAAUGCAGCGGCCUCUGGGAAGUGUUUUAAUUUGGUUUGUACGCUAAAGAAAGGCGUGGGUGGUCUGAAUGCUGUCGCAAGCUGCUCCUGAAAGCAAUUAGCAUGUGCGCUAUCUGUCACUUCCUAUUUCUCUUACCCUGUCUGCUUAUAGGAUGAGUACAAAGACCCACAUUGGUUCAUGAAUACUGGGUGAAUCUCUGUCUUACAUGUUCAGUUUCCAGAUCUGAAUGAGCUUAAUGACUUACUCUCGACUCGAUUCGACAUGAUCACAUGACAGCAGGUUUGUUUGUGCUUGGUUUUCUGCU
Non-coding RNA from Xyrichtys novacula (pearly razorfish), 1642 nucleotides. The record is from the annotation of a GenBank genome assembly. Lineage: Eukaryota; Metazoa; Chordata; Actinopteri; Labriformes; Labridae.